ACGAACGCUGGCGGCGUGCUUAACCCAUGCCAGUCGAACGGAAAGGCCCUGCUUUUGUGGGGUGCUCGAGUGGCGAACGGGUGAGUAACACGUGAGUAACCUGCCCUUGACUUUGGGAUAACUUCAGGAAACUGGGGCUAAUACCGGAUAGGAGCUCCUGCUGCAUGGUGGGGGUUGGAAAGUUUCGGCGGUUGGGGAUGGACUAGCGGCUUAUCAGCUUGUUGGUGGGGUAGUGGCUUACCAAGGCUUUGACGGGUAGCCGGCCUGAGAGGGUGACCGGCCACAUUGGAACUGAGAUACGGCCCAGACUCCUACGGGAGGCAGCAGUGGGGAAUAGUGCACAAUGGGCGGAACCCUGAUGCAGCAACGCCGCGUGCGGGAUGACGGCCUUCGGUUUGUAAACCGCUUUCGCCUGUGACGAAGCGUGAGUGACGGUAAUGGGUAAAGAAGCACCGGCUAACUACGUG
RNAcentral lists this ribosomal RNA (467 nucleotides) under uncultured bacterium. Its description in RNAcentral is "partial 16S ribosomal RNA". It matches the Rfam family "Bacterial small subunit ribosomal RNA", at positions 29 to 507 of the family's 1533-position model. The record is from RNAcentral.